CUACCACUGAUGGCCGCCACGCGUGAUGUCGGGCGCCGAGCUCUGCACCGAAUGACCGGCUCGGUCAGUGGCGUCAAUUGGCGCCCGACGCUUUUCAAGGACGAGGUGACGUUGAAUCGUUACGCCUGCUGUAUCUGUUACGUUCUUCCAAGCACGACGUUCGUGCUUCCCUGUUCGCACGGCUUGUGUGGAAAGUGCCAUGCUGGCUGUGUCGUCGAAGAUGGCGGAAGCGUCUGUCCCCUGGACGGAGAGUCGUUCUGCGAGGCCGAGUGCCAGGAGUUGCAGCUUCCAGCUAGGAAGAAGCGGGGCCUUAAGGCCUACUGCUGGAAUGAGCCCUACGGCUGCGAUUUCGUCGGCUCUCUGGCGGCGCUGCUGCACCACUACGAGGAAGACUGCACCUUUCACGCGUUCCCGUGUCAUCAGUGCGGCGAGAAUAUCAUGAUAGAUGUGUUGGCUGCCCACUACAUGGGUCGGUGCAGCAACAUAUCCUCAAGUGCGGCACUCGACGAAUCUCCGCUACGGGACGACGCCUCCGUCGCCAGCCCUGACGUCACUGUGGUUCGGCACGAAGCCGACGAGCAAUUGCUGUGUACGCAUGAAGAAGACAGGAUCACCGCGCUGCAGCGCGCGAUCGACACACUCACGUCAAUGACCGCAACCAUAGACGCAAGUCUCGACGAGACAGAGGAGAAGCUUGAGAAGCUGGAAAUGGAGGGUUAGCUGCCAGCCUUGUGACUGUAAACGACGUGGCGCCAGCCACCGAGAAAUUUUCUGUGACAACCGGCUAUACCUCGCAACUGCAGCAGCACGCGUUUAUUUCGUUAUUGUAAAAAGGUUUCCGGCCCCUAGAAGGCCACAGCCGGAGCAUGUCCUGGUUUUCUACGGUAGCAGUGGCGGGAGGUGAUGACGAACAUCCUUCGGGAUUGCAAUGAUUUUACGCGAUUCGUUGCCGCCUCAAUGGAGCGCAUAGUCUCCCUCAUAUAGGCGUAUUACGCAAAGGAUUGUUAUCCAAGCCGGAGGAGAUCCAUUGAAAUCGCCACACGUGACUUACGGAAGACACCAGACUUCGUUCGUCGUGCACCGACGCUUCUGCGACUCGUGGAGUGUCAUGCGAACUGUCGCCACUCGAUUUGUCGAUGGAUUGCGAGCCUUUCGUAGUCGCCUUUUUUAUCUCAUUGUUUUACUUUUCACAAUCACUCACAGCAUACAGAGACUACGCUGGCUGUUUGUCGGAAGCUCUGUGAACGAAUAAAGAACUUGCUGAUUA
RNAcentral lists this unclassified non-coding RNA (1267 nucleotides) under Dermacentor andersoni. RNAcentral describes it as "tNF receptor-associated factor 6-like". Lineage: Eukaryota; Metazoa; Arthropoda; Arachnida; Ixodida; Ixodidae. The record is from RNAcentral.